AUUCAGAAUCGUAAAGUGCUGUUUAAACCAUGUUCCAGCAAAAACGGUUUAUUUUGGCGACAUUUGGUUGCAACAGAUUUCCAGAACACGGGCGAUUAAGUCAUUUAUGCUACAGUUUACCUCCCCACCCCCGGGUGCAGUGUGCACACACAGGCGUACAAAGGCCCACCGUAUGCCCAGGGACCUGCCAAUGGCUUCCAUCAGACCGCACACAUAUAUACACACACAAACACUGACACUGGAAAAGGCUGCUGUGUCACGGAAAGUUGUCUACGCAGCAGUGUCAAGCAGUCCGAAGGGAACGCGGAAAAAGAUGGGUAAGGAAAAUGGGAAAAGUGCUGCUUUCAGUACCGACACCGACACAGUCAGCUUUUGUAUUACCGUCAACCGACUAGGACUCAGAUUGAAAUUAAAACUGAAAUGUAUUUAAAGUUUUACUCUACCAAUCAAAUUUAAAAGACGGAUGUUCUUGGAGUUUUACAGUCUUAAAAUUUGCGCUUUGCACAUGACGUCCUAAAUUAUAGACCUCUUGAGGUCACCUAAAUCAUAGAUGUAUAGGACACUGCUAUUUAUUGUUGACUCAAGUGGCCUUAAGAAAAGAAGAAAGUUGGUACAAUAUCAGCACCAUUGCCAUGCAAAUUAUCAAUCAAAUAAUUUUCUACAAAUGUGGAACAAUCCACAUAGCGCACACAUUGAAAUAGAUAUUGGAAAUAAAUUGAAAUAUGUGUAGUAUAUAUACAUAUAUACGAGCAUAUGCAUGUCCGUAUAGCUGAAAGAGGAACCGCCCAACCAGAGCCGGAAAUAUUAUUGAUUAUCGCAAAGGCAAAUGCCAAUAAACGUUUAUUUUCGUUCAUUA
Drosophila obscura is the source of this 856-nucleotide long non-coding RNA. RefSeq lists it as uncharacterized. The transcript is spliced from 3 exons. The record is from RefSeq and is a predicted model, not a curated record. Lineage: Eukaryota; Metazoa; Arthropoda; Insecta; Diptera; Drosophilidae.